RNAcentral lists this long non-coding RNA (1053 nucleotides) under Marmota monax (woodchuck). The record is from RNAcentral. Lineage: Eukaryota; Metazoa; Chordata; Mammalia; Rodentia; Sciuridae.
GGUGCUGACUGUAAUCAACUAGAAGAAAAUUCUAGUUGUUUUAGAGUUUAUGUCUUAGAGUAGUUUUAGGUUUAUAGGAAAAAAGAUAUGCAGAAAGUACAGCAUGCUUCAGUGGCACUCUACCCAGUCCACAUGUUUCUUUAAACACCAGGCUGUCAUAUCUAAGCCCCAUCUCUGCUGCACAGGAGAUUUUGAAUGCAUUUUAAAAAAUUGAAUCAGGUUACUAACUACUGGUGAUUUCUGCCAGCAUGUGGUCCUAAAUUACCCCAAAUGACAAUCUGAGAAAGGAUUUAUUUCCCAGAAACCUUGGAAGGAAUUUUUUAUUAUGUGUUUAUUUAUUUAUUCGGUACUGGAGAUUUAACUCAGGAGCCUUUUACCACUGAGCUACAUCCUCAACCUUUUUUUAAUUUUUAAUUUAUUUAUUUUUAAAAUUUUGAGACACAGUCUCACUGAGUUGCUUAGGGUCGCAAUAAAUUGCUGAAGCUGAUCUUAAACUUGUGAUCCUCCUGUCUCAGCCUCCCAGCCGCUGGGAUUACAGGCUUGUGCCACCAUGUCCAGCUGGAAGGAAGUUUUGCUAAUCAAUUACACUACUUUUAACUGACAGUGAGAGAUUUAGGCACUUGCUGUGGGCCAGACAUCAAGCAAGAAGCUUCCUGGACAUCUUGGACUUUAUAGGAUUUUUUUAAUUCUCACAUUUGAUGGAAUAGGUAUUCACGUCCUCAUUUAAUGCUCAAGAAAACCUGGACUCCAGGAAGAUAGGAUAUUGUCUCAAACCACAGAACCCAGGGCCACAACUCCUGACCUAAAGCUACAUCAGUCCAGCACGGCAUUCACAGGCCCCACUGAGCACUGAGAUAUGGGCCAGUCUGCAUUGAGAGAUGCAGCCAGUGUAGAAUACACACUCAGAUUAGAAAAAGGAAGAAAAUAAAAUGUCUCAUCAGAAAUUGUUUCGUAUUGAGUAUAUGUGGAAAGGGCCAUAGUGGCUUACAUAGAAUAUAUUAUCAAAAUUAAUUCUGCUCAUUUCUUUCUACUUUUUAAAAUGUGGUUACGAGG